RNAcentral lists this ribosomal RNA (490 nucleotides) under uncultured bacterium. RNAcentral's name for it is "partial 16S ribosomal RNA". It matches the Rfam family "Bacterial small subunit ribosomal RNA", at positions 30 to 507 of the family's 1533-position model. The record is from RNAcentral.
AUUGAACGCUGGCGGCAGGCCUAACACAUGCAAGUCGAACGGUAACAGGAAGAAGCUUGCUUCUUUGCUGACGAGUCGCGGACGGGUGAGUAAUGUCUGGGAAACUGCCUGAUGGAGGGGGAUAACUACUGAAAACGGUAGCUAAUACCGCAUAACGUCUCAAGACCAAAGAGGGGUACCUUCGGGCCUCUUGCCAUCGGAUGUGCCCAGAUGGGGUUAGCUUGUUGGUGGGGUAACGGCUCACCAAGGCGACGAGCCAUAGCUGGUCUGAGAGGAUGACCGGCCACACUGGAACUGAGACACGGUCCAGACUCCUACGGGAGGCAGCAGUGGGGAAUAUUGCGCAAUGGGCGCAAGCCUGAUGCAGCCAUGCCGCGUGUAUGAAGAAGGCCUUCGGGUUGUAAAGUACUUUUAGCGGGGAGGAAGGGAGUAAAGUUAAUACCUUUGCUCAUUGACGUUACCCGCAGAAGAAGCACCGGCUAACUCCGUG